This 301-nucleotide ribosomal RNA is filed under the name uncultured bacterium. RNAcentral describes it as "partial 16S ribosomal RNA". It matches the Rfam family "Bacterial small subunit ribosomal RNA", at positions 509 to 807 of the family's 1533-position model. The record is from RNAcentral.
CAGCCGCCACGGUAAUACGUAGGUGGCAAGCGUUGUCCGGAAUUAUUGGGUGUAGAGGGCUCGCAGGCGGUUCCUUAAGUCUGAUGUGAAAGCCCCCGGCUCAACCGGGGAGGGUCAUUGGAAACUGGGAAACUUGAGUGCAGAAGAGGAGAGUGGAAUUCCACGUGUAGCGGUGAAAUGCGUAGAGAUGUGGAGGAACACCAGUGGCGAAGGCGACUCUCUGGUCUGUAACUGACGCUGAGGAGCGAAAGCGUGGGGAGCGAACAGGAUUAGAUACCCCCGUAGUCCCUGUCUCUUAUAC